Molecule: non-coding RNA, 879 nt
Filed under: Entomacrodus niuafoouensis (tattoo-chin rockskipper)
Lineage: Eukaryota; Metazoa; Chordata; Actinopteri; Blenniiformes; Blenniidae
Description: partial 12S rRNA
Rfam family: Bacterial small subunit ribosomal RNA
Source: RNAcentral
GUGAGAAUGCCCAAUAGUCCCCCUCCCUGGGACAAGGAGCAGGUAUCAGGCACACCACAGUAGCCCACCACACCUUGCUUAGCCACACCCCUAAGGGAUUACAGCAGUGAUAAACAUUAAGCCAUGAGCGAAAGCUUGACUUAGUUAAGGCUUAUUAAGGGCCGGUAAAACUCGUGCCAGCCACCGCGGUUAUACGAGGGGCCCAAGAUGACAGACCCUCGGCGUAAAGGGUGGUUAAAACUUAUCUUAACUAAAGCCAAACUAUUUCAAAGCUGUCAUACGCUCUUGAAAAUAGGAAUGCCUUCCACGAAAGUGGCUUUAUUUUUUGAACCCACGAAAGCUAAGACACAAACUGGGAUUAGAUACCCCACUAUGCUCAGCCUUAAACAUAGAUGCCACAUUUACAUUAAUCAUCCGCCUGGGAACUACGAGCACUAGCUUGAAACCCAAAGGACUUGGCGGUGCUUAAUAACCCCCUAGAGGAGCCUGUUCUAGAACCGAUAACCCUCGUUAAACCUCACCCUUUCUUGCUUUUUCCGCCUAUAUACCGCCGUCGUCAGCUUACCCUAUGAAGGUUUAACAGUAAGCAAAAUUAGUAAAACUUAAAACGUCAGGUCGAGGUGUAGCGAAUGAAAGGGAAAGAAAUGGGCUACAUUUCCUGGUUACAGGAAAAACGAAAAGUACAAUGAAACUUAUACUGGAAGGAGGAUUUAGUAGUAAGAGGGGAAUAGAGCGCCCCCCUGAAAACGGCCCUUAAGCGCGCACACACCGCCCGUCACUCUCCCCAAGCUAACACAAACCAUUCCUAAAAAACUAGAACAGCAAAGGGGAGGCAAGUCGUAACAUGGUAAGCAUACCGGAAGGUGUGCUUGGAAAAAU